RNAcentral lists this ribosomal RNA (382 nucleotides) under uncultured eukaryote. RNAcentral's name for it is "partial 18S ribosomal RNA". It matches the Rfam family "Eukaryotic small subunit ribosomal RNA", at positions 592 to 976 of the family's 1831-position model. The record is from RNAcentral.
UGUAAGCGUAUACCAAAGUUGUUGCAGUUAAAACGCUCGUAGUCGGAAUUUGGCAGUUCCGGAAGUGUGCACGUCGUGUGCGCACUUUGCGGGGACUGCUUUUGUGGUCUUGCGUAGGAUGAGGCACUUUCAUUAGUGAACGUCCUCACGCAACCACUCUUUACUGUGAGAAAAUCAGAGUGUUCAAAGCAGGCAUUUGCCGUGAAUGUAUUAGCAUGGAAUAAUAGAAUAGGACUCGGUUCUAUUUUGUUGGUUUGUUGGGACUGAGUAAUGAUUAAGAGGGACAGUUGGGGGCAUUUGUAUUCCGGCGCUAGAGGUGAAAUUCUUAGAUUGCCGGAAGACAAACUGCUGCGAAAGCGUCUGCCAAGGAUGUUUUCAUUGA